CUUGCCAAGCUUCUGGGCUCCUGCUUUCCUUAGCCCUGAAGGUGUUUGCUCCUCUCCCCCUGAGUUGGGGCCUUGGAGCUGUGCUGAGGAAGCCACAUGGAGCUGUGGGGUGAGCCUGCAAAUAGAGGCCAGCAAUGGAUCAGAGCUUCUUCUAGAGGAGCUGGAGAUGAAGAUAAUGAAAGGUUUUGGUCAGACCUUCUUUAAAGCUCAUCCAAAAACAAGAGGCCUUUUCUUCACUUUAUUCAGCAUCACCACGACUCGGUUGCCAAGGCACCCACCUGCCUUUGACUGCUGCGGUUUGGCUCCAACCAGUGAUGCCUGAGCCCUCCUGACAGAGUCCCUGUGCUGAGCCCACAGCUGAGUAACGUGGUGAACCCAACAUUGGCAUCCCCUGUGAUGGAGUCCCAGCUCUACCAUCAAGCCUUGAAAAGCUCUUUGCUGAGCCCAGCAUUCAAGCUUGAUUUAUCAUGGGGAAAAAAAUGGAAAAGAGUGGUACAAAAUGUUUUUUUUGUCAGCAAAUAUGCCUACGUGGUUCUCCUGCUGUAAUCACUGCUGCUCUAUAUGCUGAGCUGGAAGAACUGGUCAAGAAGUCCCUGGAAAAAGGAUGAUGUGGUGCUGGGACUGGCUGGGAGCAAAGCUGAGGUGGUUUUUGUCUGUUCUGCUGGUUUUCUACUCCAGCUUCACUGGCUGAUGUAUAUCCAGCUGAAAUGCACUGGAUUUUCUAACAAAAUCAUUGGUAGCUUCAAAACCCACCACCCUGAGUAGACGAAAUCUGUACCCUCUGAGGCAGCUCCCAUACGUGCACUGCAGCUGAGGCUGCCAACAUUCACAAAUGCCUCCAAAUCCAAUCUGAUCAAUGGAAGAAGGUGCUUCUCCUUUUCUGUUUUUCCAUCAGAAAAGAAACAUCUCCUAAACUGCAUGGCACACAGAGGGAGAGGAGCGGUGAGAAGUGAGCUGGGUAGGGAGCAGACAAUGCAUCACGAUGCCUUUAAGUCGCUGGAUGAAGUUCAUUUCUCCUUGUCUGUACAAGGCUGGACUCUGCAUUUUCAUGGUAAAUUUGUUUACCGAGCCGUUGUUGAAAUUCUGGAAGCAGAGAAAAUGCAUUUGCUCCAUAACCUUUCCGGAUCUGACAAGUCCUAUAAAAUCUAUUAAAGCCUUUAAUGAAAUCCCCGCUCAGAGCCAGCUCCCAUGAAUGAAUGUGGAAUCGGAAUUUAAAUUAAAAUGUUGUUUUUGUAGUCUGUGGGUUUUAGCCUUGACAGAAAUUAAAGGGACAGUUCACAUUUGGAGGUUUUGUAGCUCUCUCCCUUUACUUUUGUACUGCCUCUUCCAGCAGAGGAUGGCUGUUAGAGCCUCUCCUCCUCAAUCUGAGUGUGUGACUCUGCUGCAAGCACAAACCCAGGUAUUCUGCAUAAUUUCAAUUAGAAAAAGCAAAAUUGGCUAAUGGGCAGCACCGUAUUUUAAAUGAGCUGUGGGUCUCUUGUUUGCAGACAUAAUGCUGUGCUCUGUCUCCUCUAGAGGUGCACAAGGCUGCCCUCAGUGUGGAGGUGACUGCAGUGAUGGUCACCAGCAGCCUCAUCCCUGUCCCUCUACCAUUGGCCCUAUGGAGAUACUUGCAAGCAAUCCUCCGUGAGGAGCCUGAUGCAAAUCCCUUGGAUGUGCUUG
Molecule: long non-coding RNA, 1662 nt
Organism: Lagopus muta (rock ptarmigan)
Lineage: Eukaryota; Metazoa; Chordata; Aves; Galliformes; Phasianidae
Exons: 3
Source: RefSeq, a predicted model, not a curated record